Long non-coding RNA from Asterias rubens (European starfish), 506 nucleotides. RefSeq lists it as uncharacterized. The record is from RefSeq and is a predicted model, not a curated record. NCBI's taxonomy places the organism in Eukaryota, Metazoa, Echinodermata, Asteroidea, Forcipulatida, Asteriidae. The transcript is spliced from 4 exons.
CGCCGCCAUAUUAGAAAGAAAAUGGCUGAAGGCUGAAAAAGACUCUUGUCGCUGCAAGUUUUUCACAUUUUAUUAACAAUUCAGCGGGCGAACCUUCUUCAAAGAUAGCGAGAAAGAUGUACAGCCACACCAACCCAUGCAUCGAGGACCAAGAACCCGUCCAAGAAUUAACCAAGAGGCAUAAUCACUACUCAUCAUGGGAGUGUAAAGACCAACAAAUGGUCUAAAUUCAAGAUAGAUGUACAGGCACACCAACCCAUGCAUCCACCAAGAACCCGUCCAAGUAACCAAGAGGCAUUAUCACCACUCAUCAUGGGAGAUAAAGACGAACAAAUGGUCUAAAUUCAAGGCUUCAUCUGGAGGCGAUCUCUCUGUCACCUUAUUGAUCCAAGCCUCGACCUCUCUAGUUGCUCCUGAGUUGGAGGUUGCCCUGCUGCUACCACUUCAUCAUCACCGGGACAUCAAAACAAAUUGAUACAACUGCUGACUACCCCUUGUGACGUUGU